Molecule: ribosomal RNA, 241 nt
Filed under: uncultured bacterium
Lineage: Bacteria
Description: partial 16S ribosomal RNA
Rfam family: Bacterial small subunit ribosomal RNA
Source: RNAcentral
AGGAUGGGGACAACAGACGGAAACGACUGCUAAUACCGAAUAAGUUCCAAGAGCCGCAUGGCCCAUGGAAGAAAAGGUGGCCUCUACCUGUAAGCUAUCGCCUGAAGAGGGGUUUGCGUCUGAUUAGCUGGUUGGAGGGGGUAACGGGCCCACCCAAGGCGACGAUCAGUAGCCGGUCUGAGAGGAUGAACGGCCACACUGGAACUGAGACACGGUCCAGACUCCUACGGGAGGCAGCAUG